CACAGCCACGAUAUACUAAACCAUAAUAAUACAUCGCAUGUUAUUAUGCAAAUAUUCUCCGACCAUAUUUCAUUGCUAUGUUAUGAAAAUUAUGCUGAUAUUUUUCUAGUUUGCGUUGAAAUAUAUUUCAUCAUGUGGUAGAGCGCCGUCUUUAAUCGAAACAAAACCCCAAUAAUAUGGGCUAUCUCAGUUGAUUUUGUUUAACUCGUUUAUUUAAUGGGCCCGAACGAAACGGCAACGCUGGUAAGUGAAGAUAGAUGUUGAAGUCCUUCCUAUCAAUAGACAACAGCGGAGAUAUAAAUGUGGCUAAGUCCAUCUCAUUACAUUAUGCCCAACUCCGAAGCCCAUCUUUUCAUUUAAAUAAUGAAAAGAACGUUUAACUCGAUUAUUAAACCGAUUGUGAAUAUGUGUUCGUCUACCAAUUGCUGUAAAAGUGCAUUUUUUAUUAUUGUGCGAGCAUUGCUGACGACAAUUAUGGGUACAUUAGAAAAUUAAGGUCGGUGUUAUUGUACUUUAUGAAACACACAAACUAUCGACAAUCUAUCCGUGUAUAAAUAGAUGUAAGCAAUUACGCGUUCAGCCGGCUUGCUUGCUCAUAUAUCUCGUUACAAAGCAAUUCCUUUUCCUUUCGUUCUUCUUUCCUUCUGCCUUUUCUAUGCGGUCAGUCAUGUAUCAAACUCUUCGCAUAUGUAUAUAUAAAAAUGAUGCUGCGUUCCGAUAUAUCAUCAUUUUUUAUAUCAUCGAACAUGUGGUUGUAUAUGCAGACGUAUGCAUAAGUGCAAUAAAUACCGAAGGUAUGCGUAAACAUUUAUUUACAUCUACUGUAACGAUGAUUAUGAUUAUGAUUUACGGUUUAUACUGAUAUGUACGCAAAACGUAACGGAAGAGAAGUUUGAUUAUAUAUGCGAUUUAAUCUUGAUAUUAACUACUAAACCUAACCGAAAAUAUAUUUAAAAUCAAUUAUUUUGAAAUUAAGCAGAGUAAUAAAAAUAUAAAAAAGAAACGAUUUGCAAGAGCAUUACAAUAACUACUUGUUUUAAGGAAUCCCAUACACACAGUUACAACUGUUUAAAUUUCGCGAUUAACUUCUGCUUCUAAUAAAACUGGGAGAGGGAACAGCAAUUUAAAUCUGUCAGUCCGUCCAAGCACAUGCAAAAACUAUGGACAUUGUAUGAUAUCUAAAUUUGCGAUAAUCGGCGAUAUAAUUAAUCGAAUAUCUCGAAUAUCUUGUAUAGACAGAUAUGGAAUCCAUAUGGAUUCUUGAGGCUCAAGAUAAGUUUACGCGGGUAUCUACAUGGAAAUUAUUCGUCAUACAUUAACACUCAUCAGAUACAACUAAUAACUUAAUUCUUCCGCAUAGAAGAGUCCACUAAGAUUCGCUCUUCUAAACAAUAACGCAUCGACGAGUAGCAUCGAUCUCCAAAAAAAAAAAUGUGUUCGGAUAGAAAGGAAGAAAAGAGUAACGAAUAAUAUUUAUAUAUUAGAUCUUCACAUACUGAUACAUACAUCAUACUGAAAAAUACAUCAACAUACGAAGUCGGUUCUACAUAAUUUCACUAAACUUAACAUUAUUUUAUGAAACAUUUAUUAUUGUUUUCAUAUUUUGUUUUUGUAAUUAUAUUGUUGUUUUAAUAAUUAUAUAUUUACAAUGUGGCUGAGUAGUUUUCACACUAAUUUCUUAGUAGUUGACGUUUUUAUAUACAUUAUGAAAAACAUCUUGCGAGAGAUCAUACAAAUUACAAACGUAUUUGCUUGAUCUAGCCUCAUUGGAUACACCUACCGUUUCAUAGUGUGCUCCGGACAAGAAGACAAAGUUACCACUAAUGUCUGGAAUUAGCGAAAGUGAUACCAAGAAUGAGGGAUGAUAUAGCGUUUUCGAUCGAUUUUUAUACAUCAUCAGAUAAUAUUUAUUGAAACAAAGGAACCAUUCCGUCGGAACGGUACAACGGAAUAGAUUAACUAAUCAUAGACACAUUCAGAGUUGAUUCGCAGCCAUCCAACGAGAUAUGCAGUCCAAAUGGUUGUCAAUGUUAGCUUGAUGUAUUUCAAAAUUAUCAAUCCUCCCCGUAAAUAAAAUCUGCAAAUCAUCAGCAAAUGCGUAAGCUGUACACGAAGCUAGGUUAACCAUAUUAAAGAAAUCAUUCAUAUACACGGUGAAGAGCAAAGAGCCAAUGAUCGAGCCCUGAGGUACACCACUGCGCACCUUUAACGACUCACGCUUGACAACACCCACAGAUACAAAUUGUAAACGAUUCGAGAGAUGGCAUUCUAUCAAAGCAAUAUCUGACUUCGAAAAAUGUCCCCCCAUUAGCAUCAUUCUUGUCACGUAAAUACACCUUGUAAGCCAGAUUAUCCGGAGAAAGAUGAAAUUCUACUUCACUAAAACUAAACCAAGGCUUACAGUUGACAACAGUCUUAUGUCUAACUUUGGGCAUAAUCUCAUGAAUGAAAUCCAAAUUAAUGUUCAAAAUAUUGAUCUGAUCAUCCACAUCUGAAGUAUUAUACAUACUAUUUAACUCACAUGCGGCAAUUCUGGACCUCAGUGCCUGGAUAUGGCCAACCUAACAGGAGGUAGCAUUAUAAUAGCACAAUACAAAAUAUUAGCAGAAAAUCGAAAUUCUAAGAAAAGAAAAGAGAUCGCUUAACUUAAGCUUACGACUGGAUAGAAAAACAUUAUCGAGCAAAGAGCAACACCAACAAGGUCAGAAAGUUUUCCUUUCAGGAAAAUUGUUGAACAACUGUACUUGUAUUGUCAUUAAGCAAUCAUUCAACUGAGCUAUCUUCGCCUUGGGGAUGUUGGCGUUAAUCAAGCUAAGCCUUAUAAUGAUCUUCUUUUUCCGUAACGCACGGAAAAUCGAUACUAGUUUGCAGGAGUUGGAUGAUUAUCCAAGUAAAUACGUGAAUGAAUGCUGCCCUCGAAAACGUAGCUCAACAUAUUAGAAGGGUCUUUGACAUAUCCAUUCAUAACCGUAUCGCGUACAAAAUUUAAUUAAAGUCUUCUUUUCAGUGGUUCAGCAGCUAACGUCUCAUUCCGCAUCCCAGCAAUGUUCGCACGAACUUGGUCGCCGUGCUUCAAAAGCCCGGCCCGCAAUUCACUAAUUUCCUGGAGACCAUGAUUAAACUGUUCCAGCAUCUUUUUCUCUAGAUUCAUCAGACCGCUUUCCAAACACGAUCUUCUACACAAAAAGAUAUCCAUUGCAAAGAAAGCAAGACGAUGCUUAACAAAUUAGUUGCGUAUAACGCGCAUAGCCGUCAAUCCAAAACAUCAUUUUAGUGCAUUUGACGUUAAUACGCAUCAGAUGAAAUAAAUAAUUACGAGACGAUAUAAAUAAUCAAAAUUUCUCUUGAAUGUAAUACGAAUCGCGUUUAGUGAUACGUUUGCUUUACA
Long non-coding RNA from Glossina fuscipes, 3388 nucleotides. RefSeq lists it as uncharacterized. The record is from RefSeq and is a predicted model, not a curated record. The transcript is spliced from 6 exons. NCBI's taxonomy places the organism in Eukaryota, Metazoa, Arthropoda, Insecta, Diptera, Glossinidae.